CGACACUUCUUUACUAUUUCGGAUAGUGUCUGGAACGCACGAACAAAACGCCGCUAUUCGGAUAUAACGAUGGAUUAUUUUGGACCAAACCAACAUUUGUUAUUGAAGUAGACGUCCUGGGUGUGCAUUCUGACGAAGACAACAAAAGCUUCGUGUGGAAUCUGAAGUGCUGUAAGGAGGAACUCUCUAACUACAGAUUCAGGAACUUCUCCUUCUUUCUCUUGGAUACCUGAGCCUGGGAAGGCGUCACAUCUUCUGUCGCCAAUAACCCUUGCAAAUCUUCUGCUGUGAAUUCCUGAAGCCCCAUAUACUUUUCUGCUGCAUCCACAAUAGAGCUUGUUAACUUGUGGUCCUAAAAACCAGAAAUGUUUUUCUCUGGUUUGUUCAGCCAUUCCUAUGGGGGAAAUUAAUGGGGAAAGAAUGGGGUUUUGGGAUAAAGGCCGAAAAUAAAGUCUG
RNAcentral lists this long non-coding RNA (456 nucleotides) under Salmo salar (Atlantic salmon). RNAcentral describes it as "lncRNA (ENSSSAG00000101920.1)". Lineage: Eukaryota; Metazoa; Chordata; Actinopteri; Salmoniformes; Salmonidae. The record is from RNAcentral.